GACGAACGCUGGCGGCGUGCCUAAUACAUGCAAGUAGAACGCACAGUUUAUACCGUAGCUUGCUACACCAUAGACUGUGAGUUGCGAACGGGUGAGUAACGCGUAGGUAACCUGCCCGGUAGCGGGGGAUAACUAUUGGAAACGAUAGCUAAUACCGCAUAAUAUUAAUUAUUGCAUGAUAACUAAUUGAAAGGUGCAAUUGCACCACUACCAGAUGGACCUGCGUUGUAUUAGCUAGUAGGUGAGGUAACGGCUCACCUAGGCGACGAUACAUAGCCGACCUGAGAGGGUGAUCGGCCACACUGGGACUGAGACACGGCCCAGACUCCUACGGGAGGCAGCAGUAGGGAAUCUUCGGCAAUGGACGAAAGUCUGACCGAGCAACGCCGCGUGAGUGAAGAAGGUUUUCGGAUCGUAAAGCUCUGUUGUAAGAGAAGAACGGGUGUGAGAGUGGAAAGUUCACACUGUGACGGUAUCUUACCAGAAAGGGACGGCUAACUACGUG
This 505-nucleotide ribosomal RNA is filed under the name uncultured bacterium. RNAcentral's name for it is "partial 16S ribosomal RNA". It matches the Rfam family "Bacterial small subunit ribosomal RNA", at positions 28 to 507 of the family's 1533-position model. The record is from RNAcentral.